AAGUCGUAACAAGGUCUCCGUUGGUGAACCAGCGGAGGGAUCAUUACAGAGUUCUACAAGACUCCCAAAACCAUUGUGAACAUACCCGUCAGCGUUGCUUCGGCGGGCGGCCCCUCCCUGGGGCCGCUGCCUCCCUCACGGGGGGUGCCCGCCGGGGGUUACGAAACUCUUUUGUAUUUUAGUGGCCUCUCUGAGAAAACAAGCAAAUAAGUUAAAACUUUCAACAACGGAUCUCUUGGUUCUG
RNAcentral lists this unclassified non-coding RNA (244 nucleotides) under Sordariomycetes sp. RNAcentral describes it as "partial contains small subunit ribosomal RNA, internal transcribed spacer 1, and 5.8S ribosomal RNA". The stretch from base 1 to 46 matches the Rfam family "Eukaryotic small subunit ribosomal RNA", at positions 1786 to 1831 of the family's 1831-position model. The record is from RNAcentral. Lineage: Eukaryota; Fungi; Ascomycota; Sordariomycetes.